Molecule: long non-coding RNA, 405 nt
Filed under: Gallus gallus (chicken)
Lineage: Eukaryota; Metazoa; Chordata; Aves; Galliformes; Phasianidae
Source: RNAcentral
UGGAAGUCCAUGGGGUUGCUGAUGACCUCACAGUAAUCUUCGGCUUCUUCUGUGGUCACUGGCUCCCUGAAGGGCCAGCUGAAGCGGUAUUUGAUCAGCUUGCUGAGGAUUUCCUCACACUUCUGCAGCUCGAGGCUCUGGCGACGUGCUGUCUUCCUUGUUUGAAGGACCAGCUCAUCAAUGUCUGCGCUGUUGACAGGUGCAGCCCGCUGCCGGGGUCCCCUGGCAGGGUGCAGCGACUGCUUCUUCCUUUGGUGCCUUCCCUGCCUCGAGGAGUACAUGGCUGUGCUCUGCUUGCCGCGGGCUGCCUUUCUGGGUCUCAGUUUCAAUCCAGCGACUUCAUAAUCUUCUUCUUCCUCUUCUUCUUCCUCAGCAUCUUGUUCAUCAGAAGCUUCCUCACCUUCU